AUGCUAAAGGAACAAAAAGAAGACGAGGGGCAAUACAGCGAUGCAACUUUGAGGGAGAGGAAAAUUUGGGACAUCAUCUGGAAGGCCAAGGUUCCUCAAAAGAUACGUAUUUUUGCUUGGCGGGCCGCUACCAAUAGUUUGGCUGUCCAAGUAAACAGAGUGGCACACCACCAAGAGACUCUCAGUACGUGCUCGAUAUGUGGAGUGGAGGACGAGAAUACGUUUCAUGCGCUUGUUAUGUGCCCCAAGGCUCGUGCGUUGCACAUGGCCAUGAGAGAUACUUGGGAGUUACCGUCGGAGAAUGCAUUCAGGUAUACUGGGUCGGAUUGGUUUCUUGUGCUCCUAAGUCAAGUGGGUCAGUCUAUGAGGGACAAAAUUAUUUUCAUUUUCUGGAGAGCCUGGCACUUGAGAAAUGACUUGAUUUUUGGCAAGGGCACGGAGUCAGUCACAAAUUCAACCAAUUUUAUUUAUAAUUAUUGGCCAUCCUUUGGCGCAAGUCAUUCAAGGCCAUUGGAGGAUUCAUAG
RNAcentral lists this ribosomal RNA (525 nucleotides) under Triticum aestivum (bread wheat). Its description in RNAcentral is "partial small subunit ribosomal RNA". Lineage: Eukaryota; Viridiplantae; Streptophyta; Magnoliopsida; Poales; Poaceae. The record is from RNAcentral.